This 420-nucleotide ribosomal RNA is filed under the name uncultured bacterium. RNAcentral's name for it is "bacterial SSU rRNA". It matches the Rfam family "Bacterial small subunit ribosomal RNA", at positions 917 to 1341 of the family's 1533-position model. The record is from RNAcentral.
GGGCCCGCACAAGCGGUGGAGCAUGUGGUUUAAUUCGAUGCAACGCGAAGAACCUUACCAGGGCUUGACAUACUACAGAUCUUUUUGAGAAAGAAGAGUGCCUUCGGGAAUGUAGAUACAGGUGGUGCAUGGCUGUCGUCAGCUCGUGUCGUGAGAUGUUGGGUUAAGUCCCGCAACGAGCGCAACCCUUAUUUUUAGUUACCAACUUGUUGGGUUCUCUAGAAAGACUGCCGGUGACAAACCGGAGGAAGGUGAGGAUGACGUCAAGUCAGCAUGCCCCUUAUGUCCUGGGCUACACACGUGCUACAAUGGCUAAGACAAAGAGUCGCGAGUUCGUGAGAACCAGCUAAUCUCGUAAACUUAGCCCAAGUUCAGAUUGUAGGCUGCAACUCGCCUACAUGAAGUUGGAAUCGCUAGUAA